Molecule: long non-coding RNA, 239 nt
Filed under: Brassica napus (rape)
Lineage: Eukaryota; Viridiplantae; Streptophyta; Magnoliopsida; Brassicales; Brassicaceae
Description: long non-coding RNA (BNAP_LNC023883)
Source: RNAcentral
UGUGGUGUAAAUCCUCUGUUUACUAAAUGCUUUCAUACAGUUUCACUACGUGCAAAUUUUGAAUUCUUGCAUUUCCGACAGGGGCAGAACAUCUUACCGCUUUCCUGUGUGAUCGGUGUACAGCCCGCCUGGUGCAUGAAUGUCUCUAGCCCGCUCAGAAAUGCGUUCGUCACCCUCCCGUCGGAAUCUUUGUGCAAAUACAUCCAACUCCGUAACUCGUAAAUACUACCGCCACCGGC